Rattus norvegicus (Norway rat) is the source of this 7356-nucleotide long non-coding RNA. RefSeq lists it as uncharacterized. Lineage: Eukaryota; Metazoa; Chordata; Mammalia; Rodentia; Muridae. The record is from RefSeq and is a predicted model, not a curated record.
GCCCUCGCGCCCGGUUUCCCACCACCCUAGACCCGGCCUCGGGCCCGAACCUCCAGUAAUCCCAGCUAGGCUCCCCCAGGACCCGGACCCACCAGGGUGGGGAACUCUGCUACCCCUUCCAGAGAGCCACGAGGCUUCCAGACCCACCACCCAAGCACGCAAGUGGAUCUGGGGAACCCCCUUUCCCGGUCCUGGCAUGUGACCCCCUCCUCCUGGUGAUGCUGCCCUCGGGAUACUCCACACGGGUUGGGAGCACCCCGAGGUUCCUUCUAGAUAAUCGCAGGUCCCCAGCGAGUUCCCACCACCACCACAUCAGGGAACCGAUCCCCUUCCCACUGUUAAUGUUACUGCACCUACCACCCUAAACCCACACACACUGAGAAAGGGCCAGUGGCUUCCUCCCUUCCUCUCCUGUCCCAACUACUGGACUCCCUACCCCCCACCGCGAUAAGGCACCCCUAUUGCCUCUUAAGGGGACAUUCCCGGCACCCAUGCGAAACAUAUGCCAUUUACUAGGGUCCUUUAAUUUCUUCUGCUUAGCUCUGGUCUCUCUAGUUCUAGAUUGGGACUACCUCCCCCGUGCCAAACACAUACACACACACACACACACACACACACACACACACACACACACACACACACACACCUCAGUUAUUCUGUUUACUUACCAUGGGUGAAAAAAAACGCUUCAGCCUUUCCACUCCUGCCCACCCUGUUGGCCAUGUCCCGUUUCCUUAACACUGUGUGACCGCACACUAGGAGAGGGUUCCUCUGUCCCUGUCCCCCCAGUCUUCAAAUAUGUAUUUCCCCUAUUAUCAGGACAGAGUCCCCUGGGGCUUAGUCCUUCUCCACACACUGUGAGUCCACCUCCCUGAGCUCUCCACCCGGAACCCCUUCACUCAGCGGCGGGCGGUGCAGUGGUGACUCCCCUGCCCUUUAUCAGAAGGCAGCCCUCUUCUCAGCAAUAGUCUUCCCCCUCCCAUACAAUCCCCGGUGCCCGGUACCCGGUACCCGGCGCCCUGUUCCCGUACUCUCUGGGCAGAAAGGGGACCCCUUGCUAUGUGCCCUGCCUGGGGUCUCCAACCGCCACACUCCAGUUCCUGUGAUCCCAAGCUGUACCCUUACCAGAUUAGGGUGUCCCCUAGACCUGCGGGCCCAGCCAUUCCACGCCCGCCCCACAAAAUAAAGCAAUAUGGAGGGGAUAGAGAGAGUACCCAUGGGGGUAGAGAAGGUGCCCUCCAUAGGACCGUCGGCCCUACUUUGAUCAAGCCACCUAUGGUUCCUGGAAAGGAAACAGUCCUCCAGGUACCAGGCCCGAGUAGGGCGCAGAGGGAUCCAAACCACUGAAGCUGAGUUUUGGGUGGGGUACGCAGGGAGUCCCAAAGCAGAAAACUGCAGGCAGGUAAAGGAUUGAGAGCCCCAGCCACACCCAGCUGACAAUACCCAGACACCAAUCGGGAAGCCCGUGAAGGGGGCGUUUCCUCCAUCCGGGGUCCAGAGAGGGCUUUCCUGCGUCCCACUUCCCACUUCCCACCCAGUCUGUGGGUGACUAGAAAGUCCCUCGUGCUGCUGGAAUACACUCCCAAACUUCUCCAUGGAGGUUCCAGGGUGAGGGGAUACCCACUGGCUUCAGUCUGCGCUGACUGACUAGGCCAGGAGAGCAGGAAUCCGCAUUCCUUGCUUUUGAAUCUUAGGGCAACUGUGACUUCCAGGUAGAGCCAGCCUGUGGGAGUGUCCCAGAGGAUAUUCGUGUGUCAUAGAUCUCUGUUGAGAUAGGACUGAGGCGGUGCAGCCCACACAUGCCUCCCAGCAGCCCUGUGACCCAGGACUUUACAGCUACAAAAUGACAGGAUUAGGAUUCGAACUCAGACAGCAUAGCUUCAAAAGCCCCAGCCUUCCCUUCAGAACUGUCUCUCACAGAUGCCUGUGUCAGUGUCUCAAAUCACAUCCUGACACCUCUCUCUCUCUCUCUCUCUCUCUCUCUCUCUCUCUCUCUCUCUCCCCCCGUCUCUCUCCCCCCCCCCCGCUGUGUGACACCCCCAAAGAGCAAACUCGGGAGAGACCACUUGGAUUUGUGGGGAACCCGUGGGGACAAUGGUCUGGAAGCUGUGUUUGUACUCAGUUUCACACAGGCUGUUUUGGGGGGAGCAGUUUAAUUGAGAGGUGCUUUUGUGGAGAUGAGAGAGUCCUGGCCUCCUCAGAGCUACCUCUUGGCACUAGUGCUGCGUGCUGGGGUGUUGGGAGGGGCAGGAAGGAGCCAGAAAGCUGGACCUCAGGAGAAGGAAACGCCACUCGCCAGGGUCCCUUGCUGGGGCACAGAGCUGCUGAUGUUGUAUUCAGGGAAACAAGGCUUCACUGUGCCCCAUCAGCCCAGCCCAGCCGGGGCCCGGCUGGGAACAGCCACAGCUAGCUUCUCAGAGCACAAAAUACACGAUCUGUUUCCACUGUGCAAGCGGCGGUUGCCUCCUGGGGCCCAGCAGGUCCCAGGAUCUGAGCCAGGGCUCUGUUGAGAGCAGAGGGCAGGGAGGAGUGGAACUGGUGCCCUUGGAAAGUGGAGCUAGCUUUUCCUUGGCGGCUAGGAGGCCAGGCUUCCUGCGUCAUCUUCCUUGUCAUCCCUGGACCUCAGUCUACCCCUGUGUAAGAGGAAUGGGCUGUGUGUGAUGAGUCUCAAAGACACUUAUGUUCUAGCCUUAUUUCUAAGGGCUCUGGAGCACUGAUGUUCUUCAGAACUGCGGUGCAGUCUUCUGGUCCAUGCAUUCAGUGUGGACGAGCAGAUACCGCCUGAGAACAGUGGUUGAGGGAGUGCCGGAGGAAACAGCACUGCCAGCUGACUCCAGCCCCUCUCCCCAUUUUACAGACAGGAAAACUGAGAUCCAGAAGAGAGAAGUGACCAGCUCGGAAUCAUGGGUUUUUCUGGAGGUGGGGCCUAGAGAUGACAUGUACUGAGUUUCCCCCUUUGGUCCGGCAUCUUAGAGCCUGUACCCCACCCUCUUGCCCUACCCCUCGUGGCCUCAGACUCUAUCCCUUCUCUCUCACACACACACUCAGCCUCCUCCCCUCUCUCUACCCACUCAUCCAGAGUUGUUUCUAGAAGUUUCCAAGACAAAAAGGCAUGGGACAGAUCCACAAAAUUUCAGGGAUGGCUACCCUCUGAGCCGAUAACAGCCCAGGGAGAACUCUGGAAGGUUCUGUAAGCUGAUGCUUGCCUGGAAGGCAGGCACACAUAAUUGUGAACGAGCUGUGGAAUCUGAGGAAGGUGCCCUAGUUCCUUGUCCCGUCUGGCCAGCCUCCUCCCCACCCACUUCAUCCCAUGACCCCUUGCAGCAGGCAGGCAAGGUCCCCUUUCUUUCUGGCUUCCCAUCACAAGCUCCUGGGGCCACCGGGCCUCCUCUCUCUUCCCUUCCUGCUUGACAGUCUGCAGCCCUAUGAGGCUGUGGAUUUAGCAGCAUGUGGACCUAGAGCACAUUCCUUAACCCUCUCUGGGUCUCUUUCCUCACCUGAUGGUGCUGUCAGAUGCGUAACCUAGGACUUGGCACUGAAUCAGUACUUACUAACUUACUGUCACCACUGUCCCAAGUUCACCAUAUGCCCUGGCCCUGGCGGCAGCCAUCAGCACCGAUCCUGAGGUAGCUCAGAAUGAGCCUCUGGCUGCCUCUGCUUCCCCCCAACAGAGCUGCCAGGCUGUGAGGCUGGCAGCAGCCCUUUGCAUUGGGCAGGGAUGACAGGGAUGCAACCCGUUGCCACUUUUCCUCUUGCCCAACAGACGCUCUGAUUGACGGCUACAUAUUGCUUUGAUAAAUAACAGAAAUAGAGAGAUGAAUUCAUUAUCACUUAAUUACGUGGCAGGCAGGUGGUAGAAGAAAAGGGGAGAGCUAACGGCAGCCCUUGGAGCGACACAAAACUGGGACACACGGGCCCUUGCCACCCAGCUGGGUGUCUGAGCAGGGUACUGGGCUUCUGAGCCUCGGUGUCUCCUGGGGUCUUAGGACCUACCUGACAAUUGCGAGUGGGGAAACAGAACUGUCACAGGUUUGGCCUGGGGUCUGGGUCAUGGAUGGUCUUAGAAGCAAAAGGUGCCACCUGCCACCCAGCAGCUAUCUUUCUCAAGUUUUGCAUACAAAAAUCCAGCUGCAGGCACGGUCUUUGGGAAUUCUAUGGUGGGUCCACAGGGCCAGUAAUGGAAGGCUUCUGUGUGUCUACCGUUAGGAAAGACUGCAGCCACGGGUCCCCACAGCAGCCUGGGGGUGGUGUCGAAUUAAAGGUGUCCCCAGCCCUGUCCUUACUAGAGAGUCCCAGGGGAACUCACCUCAAUUACUUAGAGGUCAAGUUUAGUCCUCAAGACUCAAAGAGGUGAGUCACUUGGCCAAGGUGGUGAGUGCUACUUGUAUGAUUAGCUCUAGGAGGCUAGCAGGCUUGGUGGGGGUUGAGGUGCCUCCUACCCCAGGGAGGAAGUAUUCCCAACAAGGACCUCUUCUCUUUUCCACCCACUUCCCCUCUGCGUCUGAGUCACCUCUCCUUCCCCUCCUGGGGACUUUCUGAUUGGUGGGGGGAGCGGUGGUUACACCUCCCAUUGCCCCACCUCCCUCCUUCCCAACCUUCUGGUUGAGGUCCAGGCCUGGCCCAAGGGUCAUCAGGACUUCCAGAGGCAGGUUGGAGGCCCCCUUCUGCAAGGACGGCUCCUCUGAGGAGUUAGUCACGUCACAGCCUCUUACAAGGAACGGUGCCCACACCCUGCAGUCGCUGAGUUCCUUCUGGCUGUCUCAACAGCCUUCUUGCAAAGCGGAAGUCCAGCUUUGCAAAAACAGAGCAGGCUGCAGGGCCAGGCAGGUGUGGCUAGCUGGGCCCAGCCUGGCUGUGCUGAGCAGGAAGUCCUUUUUAGGACUCAGCCGUUUGACGGAUGAAUGAGGCCUCAGUUGACCCACUGGGUAGCAGGAUCUUGACUCUCUUCUUCUUCUUCUUCUUACUACUACUACUACUACUACUACUACUACUAUUACUACUUAUUGUUAUUGUUGUUAUUAUUAUUAUUAUUAUUAUUAUUGGUGUUUUGCCUUUGGAGGAUAUUGCAUUCCCCAAACUGGAGUUAUACACAGUGGAAGUUUCCAUAUGGGUGCUGGGAAUUGAACCCAGGUCCUCUGCGAGAACAGCAAGUGCUCUUAACCACACUGAGCCAUCUCUCCAGUCCUGCUGGCUCCCUUCCUGAUACUACCGGCCAUUUCACAGGCCUUCAUGUCUCACUCGUAACCUGGAGCUAUCAGAAAAUGCAUCUCCCCAAGUGCUUCCCAAUUCUGGUGGCACUGGCCUGUCAUCCCAGCUGCUCAGGCGCCUGAGGCAGGGGGAUAGAAAAACUCAAGGCCAGCCUGUGCUGCAAAGUAGGUUCGAGACCAGCCUGGGCCACUCUGCAAGACCUCAGCAUGCAUGGGACCCUGGGGUUAAUCCCCAGCAUCACAGAAAGAGACCAAGAAAGAGAAAGUACAAGGCCAGUCUGUCUACUUCCAUUUCCCUUCCUGGUGACGGCGGGCAGGUGACUUUGUCUGUGUGAUCUCUUCAGGAGUACUGUGAAUGGAGUCAAGAGUGGGUAACAACAUUGGGUUAUAUUCAUAGUCGGUAUCAUAAGUGAUUAUUAAAGGUGGGCGGAGAAUAGAGCGACGGCAAGACGCUCCCACAUCGCCACCUUGGCUCAGCCCGUGGGUGGUGUCAAACUUGAGGUUAAGACAACCCUGAGUCUUGGCAGCUCUCUGGCAAGUAGCUCUCAGCUUGUAGGCUCUCACUGGACCUUCUGGAAAACAGGAGAGGAGGGCCUGUGAGCACUGCACACUACUUGGUCCCUAAACCCCUGAUAUUCAUGGUAAUAAGAGAGCACGGAGACUGGGGGCCGGAGACUGGGGGGCUGCUGAGACCAGCGUCCCUUCAGCAGUCGAUCCUCCUGUGGCCAUUUGGAAGCAGCAACACAGGCCUGGGCUGGGUGCCAGAAGGGACAGAAUGUGGUUAGUUCCCUGUACCCCUUUGCUGGGGCAACAGCUGUGAUAAUGGCUUCGCUUCAGCCAGCACAGCAGGGCUGGGGCUGGGGGAGCGAGGGCUGCCUACCUGAGGGAACAGUGAGCCCUCUGUCCUCAGAGGAAUUCAAGGCACCAAGCAGGGAAAAACCACAUUGGGAGUUUGGCCCUUACGGCCGGCCGGGCUGGCUGAAGUGACCUCCACUCACUACCCUUUCUAUCCCUGGGACUCUCCAACCCAGCGUCUGGAGGCAGCCGGAUAUAGUGUGGUUUUGUUUUGUUUUGUUUUAUCACAGUUGGACCCCACCUGCACCCAUGCUGACCUUGGCCAGUGCACUUUCUUUCUGCCUGAGCCUCCUCGAAAAGGAUGUCUGGAGGGAGAAUGCCACCCUUGUGACUCGGGGUUAUCAGGACGGAGGGCGAGGACAGACAGAGAUGGGGGAGAGCGGCUGAAUAAGAUCGCAUUCAGACCUAAAGACAGGGUCAGCCUGGGUGGCAGCUGGAGGGAGGGUGGAUGGGAGGGAUCUUUUUUGUCACAUCCAGGGCAGCAGCUGCUGAGCCCUCCCCUGGUGUGAACUAUGCAUGGGGAGGGAGGCUGGAAUGUGGGCUGGGUGCCAGGCAGCCACAACGUCGUUGCCGUCGUUGCCGUCCUGUCCCUCGGAUGUUGAGAAAAGGUGCUGAGCUCCAAAGCCUGAGUUUUGUUAUCAGAGCUUGGUGACAUUGGCUUUCCUGAACCAGGCCCAAGAGCCCCCAAGGGGAGCAUCAGGCCCAGCCCCAGAGGCCUAUGAGGAAGUGGGAGUCAGAGGGAGGAGUCCAGCUAGUAAUAUCCCACCUGCUGUGUGGAAUUAUCAUUCCCCUGCCCUGGGCCCCAAUUUUCCUCCAUAAGCUGGUGGGCCAGGCUAGGUGGAUGAACCCUGAGGGCCAACCUUUCCUUCCUGUAUCCUCGGAGCCUCCUGGAGCCUCAUUUCCAGCUCAGAAAGAAAGGCAGCAGGAUGAGAGGGCCUCCCCAGCCUCGCCUCUCUCAUGAGAACACCAUCAUUUCCCACAGUUGUUCACUUGCUUGGAGGUGUGGGGACAGUCUCCACUGUUACCCCCUUACAGGGAGGAAAGCAGGGCGACCAGGGGCUACCUGCUUAAGGCUCCAGUCCCCUACAGUUUAGCCAGACCCCCUAAGGUGCUGGAUCUUUAAGUCAAGCCUAGAAGGGGGAGAGAAUGCUAAGCCCCUUGGCCAUCUAUCCAGUCUGACUUCCUACCCCUCAGGUCACUCCACUCCUCCCAAUUCUGUAGGGAGCUAGGCCUAGACCCCUUGGAGAAGCCAGCAUGGGUUUGUUUGUACGACCGCCUUACCUAGACUCGAAAA